RNAcentral lists this ribosomal RNA (497 nucleotides) under uncultured bacterium. Its description in RNAcentral is "partial 16S ribosomal RNA". It matches the Rfam family "Bacterial small subunit ribosomal RNA", at positions 28 to 507 of the family's 1533-position model. The record is from RNAcentral.
GACGAACGCUGGCGGCGUGCCUAAUACAUGCAAGUCGAACGCUGAAGAGAGGAGCUUGCUCUUCUUGGAUGAGUUGCGAACGGGUGAGUAACGCGUAGGUAACCUGCCUUGUAGCGGGGGAUAACUAUUGGAAACGAUAGCUAAUACCGCAUAACAAUAGGUGACACAUGUCAUUUAUUUGAAAGGGGCAAUUGCUCCACUACAAGAUGGACCUGCGUUGUAUUAGCUAGUAGGUGAGGUAACGGCUCACCUAGGCGACGAUACAUAGCCGACCUGAGAGGGUGAUCGGCCACACUGGGACUGAGACACGGCCCAGACUCCUACGGGAGGCAGCAGUAGGGAAUCUUCGGCAAUGGGGGCAACCCUGACCGGGCAACGCCGCGGGAGUGAAGAAGGGUUUCGGAUCGUAAAGCUCUGUUGUAAGUCAAGAACGAGUGUGAGAGUGGAAAGUUCACACUGUGACGGUAGCUUACCAGAAAGAGACGGCUAACUACGUG